CAGGCUUAACACAUGCAAGUUGAGGGGCAGCAUGGUCUUAGCUUGCUAAGACUGAUGGCGACCGGCGCACGGGUGAGUAACACGUAUCCAACCUGCCGUCUACUCUUGGACAGCCUUCUGAAAGGAAGAUUAAUACAAGAUGGCAUCAUGAGUCCGCAUGUUCACAUGAUUAAAGGUAUUCCGGUAGACGAUGGGGAUGCGUUCCAUUAGAUAGUAGGCGGGGUAACGGCCCACCUAGUCUUCGAUGGAUAGGGGUUCUGAGAGGAAGGUCCCCCACAUUGGAACUGAGACACGGUCCAAACUCCUACGGGAGGCAGCAGUGAGGAAUAUUGGUCAAUGGGCGAGAGCCUGAACCAGCCAAGUAGCGUGAAGGAUGACUGCCCUAUGGGUUGUAAACUUCUUUUAUAAAGGAAUAAAGUCGGGUAUGCAUACCCGUUUGCAUGUACUUUAUGAAUAAGGAUCGGCUAACUCCGUGCCAGCAGCCGCGGUAAUACGGAGGAUCCGAGCGUUAUCCGGAUUUAUUGGGUUUAAAGGGAGCGUAGAUGGAUGUUUAAGUCAGUUGUGAAAGUUUGCGGCUCAACCGUAAAAUUGCAGUUGAUACUGGAUAUCUUGAGUGCAGUUGAGGCAGGCGGAAUUCGUGGUGUAGCGGUGAAAUGCUUAGAUAUCACGAAGAACUCCGAUUGCGAAGGCAGCCUGCUAAGCUGCAACUGACAUUGAGGCUCGAAAGUGUGGGUAUCAAACAGGAUUAGAUACCCUGGUAGUCCACACGGUAAACGAUGAAUACUCGCUGUUUGCGAUAUACUGCAAGCGGCCAAGCGAAAGCGUUAAGUAUUCCACCUGGGGAGUACGCCGGCAACGGUGAAACUCAAAGGAAUUGACGGGGGCCCGCACAAGCGGAGGAACAUGUGGUUUAAUUCGAUGAUACGCGAGGAACCUUACCCGGGCUUAAAUUGCAGAUGAAUUACGGUGAAAGCCGUAAGCCGCAAGGCAUCUGUGAAGGUGCUGCAUGGUUGUCGUCAGCUCGUGCCGUGAGGUGUCGGCUUAAGUGCCAUAACGAGCGCAACCCUUGUUGUCAGUUACUAACAGGUUCCGCUGAGGACUCUGACAAGACUGCCAUCGUAAGAUGUGAGGAAGGUGGGGAUGACGUCAAAUCAGCACGGCCCUUACGUCCGGGGCUACACACGUGUUACAAUGGGGGGUACAGAGGGCCGCUACCACGCGAGUGGAUGCCAAUCCCCAAAACCUCUCUCAGUUCGGACUGGAGUCUGCAACCCGACUCCACGAAGCUGGAUUCGCUAGUAAUCGCGCAUCAGCCACGGCGCGGUGAAUACGUUCCCGGGCCUUGUACACACCGCCCGUCAAGCCAUGGGAGCCGGGGGUACGUGAAGUGCGUAACCGCGAGGAGCGCCCUAGGGUA
Molecule: ribosomal RNA, 1417 nt
Filed under: uncultured organism
Description: 16S ribosomal RNA
Rfam family: Bacterial small subunit ribosomal RNA
Source: RNAcentral